GCGGUCGUAGCUCAGUUGGUAGAGCAAUAGGUUGUGGUCCUAUCUGUCGCGGGUUCGAUUCCCGUCGAUCGCCCCA
RNAcentral lists this transfer RNA (76 nucleotides) under Candidatus Peribacteria bacterium. RNAcentral describes it as "tRNA-His". It matches the Rfam family "tRNA". From Rfam's summary of the family: Transfer RNA (tRNA) molecules are approximately 80 nucleotides in length. Their secondary structure includes four short double-helical elements and three loops (D, anti-codon, and T loops). The record is from RNAcentral. Lineage: Bacteria; Candidatus Peregrinibacteriota; Candidatus Peribacteria.